AGGACUAUUUUUAUGGUUGCACUUCAGGGCUCCAGCUUGCACUCCCAGUUGAAUCUAUAUGCAUCAUUAUGAAGCGCAACAUCUCCUGGCCAGCAUCGAGAUAUAGUCGAAUGCUCGAUGAAUGCUGGAAUGUUGAAAUGGUGCAACAGUCGGAGAACUUUGUUCUCUGAUUUCUACCCGCAAUAGCAUGCAGAGAAUGUGUUCUACACUAAGUGAGAGAAUAUGCUUUCCAUAAAAUUUCAAGCAGAUAGUAGGUCCUCCCAUUACUCUCACAUACAUUUGAACUCUGCACAGCAGACGUAGUAGAGCAAAUAGAACAACGGAGUGCAUCUCAGAAACCCUAAUUUCAUUUCUUGCAGAAAUUCGGCCUCCAGGUCGUCAACAUCAAGUGAACACCACCACACUGGUAUCAGAAACAAUUUAUAGCUGUACGCUACAAUAAUCUGUCUCGCACUGUGGCUUUUUUGAAGAAUCAAUCGCCCUCACUAUAUAACUGCAGACUUCUUUCUUUUUUUAGUUUUUUAGUGUUUCUUUUCUUUUCUUCUUCUUCUUUCCUCGUUUCAGAGAAUCUCCAUCACGUUGCAUCUACUGGCAGCCUGAUAUCCUGUCACAUUUGCAGCAAUAUUGUCACCUCUAAGAGCAAGCGAUUGACAGUCCGCCACUUGAUGGACCACUUCUGACCAUGAAACUAAUCACUCUAGUCCACAUACUUGUGGCCUUGACCCUUAGGUGGAACCCAGAGCUAUUACUCAAGAUGCUGGGUCGGAGGACGGAAGUGAGAAGCCUUUACCUACAAACUCCAUCGCCCUCUGACUCUCUCCCCUUUCGUUGCUUCUGACGUCGUCCAAUAUUGCUCCCUCUAUAUACUAAUCAAACCACUCGGCUUGUAUGAGUCGAUGCUGCAUUCUUUCACAACUGGGUGCCUCUAGAUCUUGUUUCUGAAGUUUGUAGGUGCAAAUCAACAUACUUCAAAAAACUCGCAUUCUUAUCUUCAUUAGUGAGGGACUGUAAGUAAUGCAGCAGAACGAUCAGUCGGGAGUGCCUAGUUUUUACAUUAGUGAGCACAAUUUUGAGGUGAAAUUUUGCGGUGAAUGUUAACCGCUGAAGAAACUUGAAGAGAGUUGUCAGUUUCCCUGCGUCAUGAGUUUUACUUCGACACCACGUUCUGGAUAUCAUCAGACAGGCUGGAUCUAUCUAGUCCACCACAUCCCACAUAACUUGGACAAGCUCAAGCGCUGCCAAUCUGUCCUUGCAACUGGAACGAAUUCUCCACUCAAGCAAUGCUCUCAAGUCCAAGUGUAGACAAGAAGCAAAAGCACCCCCAAAGGCAAAAGCGAAAGCAAGCAACAGGUGGAGCAUAGAAAAAGCCCUUCUGCUGCGGCACAGGUUUCCCGCACAGUUGACAAAAGCCACAAGAAUCCUGUCCUGCAGCAACACCAGGAUUGGGAUCUCUAACUCUCUCUCUCUCUCUCUCUCUCUCUUUUGCUUCUCCUUC
Molecule: long non-coding RNA, 1495 nt
Filed under: Physcomitrium patens
Lineage: Eukaryota; Viridiplantae; Streptophyta; Bryopsida; Funariales; Funariaceae
Description: long non-coding RNA (PPAT_LNC005838)
Source: RNAcentral